Molecule: long non-coding RNA, 858 nt
Filed under: Mytilus galloprovincialis (Mediterranean mussel)
Lineage: Eukaryota; Metazoa; Mollusca; Bivalvia; Mytilida; Mytilidae
Source: RNAcentral
UUUCAUGUCAAUAUCAUUUUUCGAGAAUAAUAUAAUUUCUAUCUCAUUGAACCACAAUGCAUGUAGUUUAAUACAUGACUAAACACAUAAUACUAUUAAAAUGGUUUACAUCCUUCGAUACAUAUAGUAAUCAUUGCAAAAGGACAUUUUUUUCUCCCACAUAGUUCAUAUGUAGUAUUAUCUAUUUUAAGUGAGUGUACUAUUGAAGAAAAGUUAAGAUACUGAUUCGAACGAUAAACACUGAUUAAUACCAGACCCACACGCUUUUUCGUAUAUAAGACAGACACAUUUUGUAAAUUCGAGGCAACCAUGCAAUUUUCCUACUCCAUUAUCAAUGUUUAUGUCGCGCAACUAUCAAUGUUCUAAACUUUUUUUUUCGGCAAUGGAUCGAUACCACAACCUCCCGCAUUAAAGGCGUCCAUUGUACCACGAGACCUCCAUGGUUGUUAAACAUAUUGAUGUUUGACUACAGAAAUCUUAUGAUAACGUGUUUAUUCAAUUUUAAUAAAAGAUUUAACAUGAUACAGAAUUAGUUAAUGUGAUGAUUAUUUCUGUUUUAUCGGUUUUUUUUCAACAUUAAAAAAAUAUUCAUUUUGACUUUGAAGCCAGCCAUACAAAGCGUUUGAUAAGUUUUUUAUAGUGUUAUUUUUUUAUCACACAACUCUGUAACUGGAUAGAAGUGUAUUGAUUUUUUUUAUAAAGUUUUCCCUUGUUGUCACAUAUCCAUGUUCAUGUACAUAUGAAGUUUUAAGUGUCACCAAAAAAAUAUUUAUUUUAUUGUGUAUAUUCAUAUUUGUAAACUAAGUUGUAAAUACAUUUUGUUUUGCAUUUUUCAGCUUGACAAAUAAAAUAUGUUAA